UACAGAGGGGGCAAGCGUUAUUCGGAAUUAUUGGGCGUAAAGGGCGCGUAGGCGGCUUGGCAAGUGGAUGGUGAAAUCCCUCGGCUUAACCGAGGAACUGCCGUCCAAACUGCUUCGCUUGAGACCGGGAGAGGUGAGUGGAAUUCCCAGUGUAGCGGUGAAAUGCGUAGAUAUUGGGAGGAACACCAGUGGCGAAGGCGGCUCACUGGACCGGUAUUGACGCUGAGGCGCGAAAGCUAGGGGAGCAAACGGG
This 253-nucleotide ribosomal RNA is filed under the name uncultured bacterium. RNAcentral describes it as "partial 16S ribosomal RNA". It matches the Rfam family "Bacterial small subunit ribosomal RNA", at positions 524 to 776 of the family's 1533-position model. The record is from RNAcentral.